This is a long non-coding RNA of Chelonia mydas (Green sea turtle), 236 nucleotides long. RefSeq lists it as uncharacterized. The transcript is spliced from 3 exons. The record is from RefSeq and is a predicted model, not a curated record. NCBI's taxonomy places the organism in Eukaryota, Metazoa, Chordata, Testudines, Cheloniidae.
GUCUCGGUGCCUGGCAGCAGCAGCAGGAUGGGGGAUAGCGCUCACCUGAGACCACAGGAUAUUCAGCCUCCAGUAGAUGAGCUUGGAUCUCUCAGUGUUGAUGACCUGGAGUCAGCUGGGGAACUGAAGCACAGAAAUGUCCAUGGUCAAACAGGGGAUCUCUGGUGGAGCCGGGACUGGAACACAGGGACUUGAGUCAAGGUCUUCUAUCUCCCAGCUGCAUGCUCCGACCACUG